RNAcentral lists this long non-coding RNA (548 nucleotides) under Trifolium pratense (red clover). RNAcentral's name for it is "long non-coding RNA (TPRA_LNC010588)". The record is from RNAcentral. Lineage: Eukaryota; Viridiplantae; Streptophyta; Magnoliopsida; Fabales; Fabaceae.
UGUGGUUUUUGGUUGGAAGCAUUGCCGAGGUAAGGGCACCUUUUUUAUUUCCGUAUUUAAAUUCCGUCGAUAGCAUUAGGGUAUGCUUUCUUGUUGUGCUUGGUUGCUUGCUUGUUGUGCUCGGUUGGACUUUUGUGCUUAUUGUGCUUUCUUACAUAUAAUUUGGUUUGGAAUAUAUGUAAUGUGUUGAUAUGGCAUAGAUAGGGGUAUCGUAUGCUCAUGCACUCAUAGUACGUGGUUGCGCAAGUGGACCGCGGGGUGUGACGAUCCUGUGACAGGGUGUCCACCUUAAUCCUUCGGGAUCUUUAUUGAGUCCCAAUACGUGACGAUCCUGUGACGGGGUGUCGCAGAGUGUGAUGAUCCUGUGACGGGGUAUCCACUCUAAUUCUUGAGAUUGUGUUGAUGAUAGUAGAGGCGACGAUCCUGUGACGGGGUGUUGCUAGAAACCUACGACUCUCCUUUAUGAGAGGUUUUUCCGGAAUUCAUGCAUGUAACGAUCCUGUGACGGGGUGUUACCGUGGCGAUCCUGUGACGGGGUGCCACACUCA